Molecule: ribosomal RNA, 253 nt
Filed under: uncultured bacterium
Lineage: Bacteria
Description: partial 16S ribosomal RNA
Rfam family: Bacterial small subunit ribosomal RNA
Source: RNAcentral
UACGGAGGGUCCAAGCGUUAUCCGGAUUCAUUGGGCGUAAAGAGCUCGUAGGCGGCCACUCAAGUCGAAUGUGAAACCUCGAGGCUUAACCUCGAGCCUGCAUUCGAUACUGGGUGGCUAGAGUCUGGUAGGGGGAUCUGGAAUUCCUGGUGUAGCGGUGAAAUGCGCAGAUAUCAGGAAGAACACCCGUGGCUAAGGCGGCUCUCUAGUACGGUACUGACGCUGAGACGCGAAAGCGUGGGGAGCGAACAGG